UAGUCUACUUGCAAUUGCACUCAUGGACU
RNAcentral lists this small RNA (29 nucleotides) under Bombyx mori (domestic silkworm). RNAcentral's name for it is "ovarian small RNA-23018". Lineage: Eukaryota; Metazoa; Arthropoda; Insecta; Lepidoptera; Bombycidae. The record is from RNAcentral.